GUGGUUCUUAGUAAGGUUACUUUCAUUUAUCAUGUUUAUAGAGGACACAUUUUUACAACAACAAUCAAAACAAUCAUUUUGACAAACAUCACACACAAUUGUAAUAAGUAUUUCAAAAGUAUUUUUUAUACAUAUGUUAUCUGAUUGAUCUGAUUGACAUUCUUUGCUAAUUUUUCAUGCAGAGAGGUUAUACCAACAGUUAAUCUCUUUAUGUCCAAGACGAAAACAAAAGUUACAUUUGAUCCUUUGAUCAUGUUUGCAGUUUAACAGAGUGUGAUAAUUUGAUCCACAGUUGUAACAGUAGGAGUCCCAUGUAUUUCUGUAAGGCUUCACUGACGAAUUGACAUUUCUUAUAGGUAUUACUUCGUUAAUUUCAUCAAUUAGUUUCGUGGUUCCCGAAUUUGUUAGAUGAACACCAUCUGUGUGUAUCAAGCCUGGCA
This 440-nucleotide long non-coding RNA is filed under the name Mytilus galloprovincialis (Mediterranean mussel). Lineage: Eukaryota; Metazoa; Mollusca; Bivalvia; Mytilida; Mytilidae. The record is from RNAcentral.